This 45-nucleotide non-coding RNA is filed under the name Opisthorchis viverrini. The record is from RNAcentral. Lineage: Eukaryota; Metazoa; Platyhelminthes; Trematoda; Opisthorchiida; Opisthorchiidae.
GUACUGCUGAUGAGUUCUAAUAGGAGCGAAACUCGAGUCCAGUAC